GAGGGGACAAGCGUUGUUCGGAAUUACUGGGCGUAAAGGGCGCGUAGGCGGCCUUCUCAGUCGAACGUGAAAUCCCCGGGCUCAACCCGGGAACUGCGUCCGAUACUGGAAGGCUUGAAUCCGGGAGAGGGAUGCGGAAUUCCAGGUGUAGCGGUGAAAUGCGUAGAUAUCUGGAGGAACACCGGUGGCGAAGGCGGCAUCCUGGACCGGUAUUGACGCUGAGGCGCGAAAGCCAGGGGAGCAAACGGGAUUAGAUACCCCGGUAGUCCUGGCCCUAAACGAUGAAUGCUUGGUGUGGCGGGUAUCGAUCCCUGCCGUGCCGAAGCUAACGCAUUAAGCAUUCCGCCUGGGGAGUACGGUCGCAAGGCUG
Molecule: ribosomal RNA, 370 nt
Filed under: uncultured organism
Description: bacterial SSU rRNA
Rfam family: Bacterial small subunit ribosomal RNA
Source: RNAcentral